CGGGGAAUAUUGGACAAUGGGCGGAAGCCUGAUCCAGCAACGCCGCGUGAGGGAUGACGGCCUUCGGGUUGUAAACCUCUUUCAGCACAGACGAAGCGCAAGUGACGGUAUGUGCAGAAGAAGGACCGGCCAACUACGUGCCAGCAGCCGCGGUAAUACGUAGGGUCCGAGCGUUGUCCGGAAUUAUCGGGCGUAAAGGGCUCGUAGGCGGUUUGUCGCGUCGGGAGUGAAAACACCGGGCUUAACUCGGUGCUUGCUUUCGAUACGGGCAGACUAGAGGUAUUCAGGGGAGAACGGAAUUCCUGGUGUAGCGGUGAAAUGCGCAGAUAUCAGGAGGAACACCGGUGGCGAAGGCGGUUCUCUGGGAAUAUCCUGACGCUGAGGAGCGAAAGUGUGGGGAGCGAACAGGAUUAGAUACCCUGGUAGUCCACACCGUAAACGUUGGGCGCUAGGUGUGGGGUCCAUUCCACGAUUCCGUGCCGCAGCUAACGCAUUAAGCGCCCCGCCUGGGGAGUACGGCCGCAAGCUAAAACUCAAAGGAAUUGNCGGGGUCAUAGCU
This 559-nucleotide ribosomal RNA is filed under the name uncultured bacterium. RNAcentral's name for it is "partial 16S ribosomal RNA". It matches the Rfam family "Bacterial small subunit ribosomal RNA", at positions 355 to 926 of the family's 1533-position model. The record is from RNAcentral.